UGGGGAAUAUUGGACAAUGGGCGCAAGCCUGAUCCAGCCAUACCGCGUGGGUGAAGAAGGCCUUCGGGUUGUAAAGCCCUUUUGUUGGGAAAGAAAUCCUAUCGGUUAAUAACCGGUGGGGAUGACGGUACCCAAAGAAUAAGCACCGGCUAACUUCGUGCCAGCAGCCGCGGUAAUACGAAGGGUGCAAGCGUUACUCGGAAUUACUGGGCGUAAAGCGUGCGUAGGUGGUGGUUUAAGUCUGCUGUGAAAG
This 253-nucleotide ribosomal RNA is filed under the name uncultured Pseudoxanthomonas sp. Its description in RNAcentral is "partial 16S ribosomal RNA". It matches the Rfam family "Bacterial small subunit ribosomal RNA", at positions 355 to 600 of the family's 1533-position model. The record is from RNAcentral. Lineage: Bacteria; Pseudomonadati; Pseudomonadota; Gammaproteobacteria; Lysobacterales; Lysobacteraceae.